Molecule: transfer RNA, 61 nt
Filed under: Caudoviricetes sp.
Lineage: Duplodnaviria; Heunggongvirae; Uroviricota; Caudoviricetes
Description: tRNA-OTHER
Rfam family: tRNA
About the family: Transfer RNA (tRNA) molecules are approximately 80 nucleotides in length. Their secondary structure includes four short double-helical elements and three loops (D, anti-codon, and T loops). Further hydrogen bonds mediate the characteristic L-shaped molecular structure. tRNAs have two regions of fundamental functional importance: the anti-codon, which is responsible for specific mRNA codon recognition, and the 3' end, to which the tRNAs corresponding amino acid is attached (by aminoacyl-tRNA synthetases). tRNAs cope with the degeneracy of the genetic code in two manners: having more than one tRNA (with a specific anti-codon) for a particular amino acid; and 'wobble' base-pairing, i.e. permitting non-standard base-pairing at the 3rd anti-codon position.
Source: RNAcentral
UGCCGUGUAGUUCAAUUGGUAGAACGUGUGAAAUGUGUCGGUUCGAAUCCGACCACGGCAA